GGGUGAGUAACACGUGAGCAACCUGCCCCUGACUCUGGGAUAAGCGGUGGAAACGCCGUCUAAUACCGGAUACCACCCCCCUCCUCUUGGUGGAGGGUGGAAAGUUUUUCGGUCAGGGAUGGGCUCGCGGCCUAUCAGCUUGUUGGUGGGGUAACGGCCUACCAAGGCGAUUACGGGUAGCCGGCCUGAGAGGGCGACCGGCCACACUGGGACUGAGACACGGCCCAUACUCCUGCGGGAGGCAGCAGUGGGGAAUAUUGCGCAAUGGGCGAAAGCCUGACGCACCGACGCCGCGUGGGGGAUGACGGCCUUCGGGUUGUAAACCUCUUUUACCACCAACGCAGGCUUCCAGUUCUCUGGAGGUUGACGGUAGGUGGGGAAUAAGGACCGGCUAACUACGUGCCAGCAGCCGCGGUAAUACGUAGGGUCCGAGCGUUGUCCGGAAUUAUUGGGCG
Molecule: ribosomal RNA, 455 nt
Filed under: Nocardiopsis sp.
Lineage: Bacteria; Bacillati; Actinomycetota; Actinomycetes; Streptosporangiales; Nocardiopsidaceae
Description: bacterial SSU rRNA
Rfam family: Bacterial small subunit ribosomal RNA
Source: RNAcentral